Molecule: transfer RNA, 73 nt
Filed under: Ornithorhynchus anatinus (platypus)
Lineage: Eukaryota; Metazoa; Chordata; Mammalia; Monotremata; Ornithorhynchidae
Rfam family: tRNA
About the family: Transfer RNA (tRNA) molecules are approximately 80 nucleotides in length. Their secondary structure includes four short double-helical elements and three loops (D, anti-codon, and T loops).
Source: Rfam by way of RNAcentral
AGCAGUGUGGUGUGGUGGCUAGAACAUGAGCCUGGGAGUCUGAAGGAUCUGGGUUCUAAUCCCAGCUCUGCCA